GCGCCCAUAGCUCAGUUGGAUAGAGUGGCAGACUUCGAAUCUGAAGGUCGUGGGUUCGACUCCCGCUGGGCGCACCA
Molecule: transfer RNA, 77 nt
Filed under: Clostridium sp. ZS2-4
Lineage: Bacteria; Bacillati; Bacillota; Clostridia; Eubacteriales; Clostridiaceae
Description: tRNA-Arg
Rfam family: tRNA
About the family: Transfer RNA (tRNA) molecules are approximately 80 nucleotides in length.
Source: RNAcentral